Long non-coding RNA from Ictalurus punctatus (channel catfish), 928 nucleotides. The record is from Ensembl. Lineage: Eukaryota; Metazoa; Chordata; Actinopteri; Siluriformes; Ictaluridae.
GGAGAAGAGCGGAAGAGCAAAGCACUGCAAAUUUACACCAGACUGCGAGACGGAAACAAGCCGACUGAGCCCAGCAAGCCGAGAAGCUGUUCCAGGUUUGAGGACUUUGAUUUCCUGGCCAAGUACUGCAUUAUCAGUCCUGAGAAGCUCGCCGCAUACAGACGUGCUUUUGAAGCUGUGGACAGUGAUGGUGAUGGCUAUCUAUCGUGCUUUCAAGUACUGCUGGCUCUAAAGGAGAUCAUUCCUCCAGAACUGCUGACUGAAGAGGAGGAAAUCUAUGUGUACAGGAUUCUAGAGCUGGUUGAUUUCAGCGUGACUGAGGGUCUGACGGAUUUGCGUCUCUUCGCCGUCGUUGCCAGUCUGGCACAGAAGAUAGCCACACUAGACAGUUGUUCCUGUUCCUGCUGGAGGGCCAGUCUGAGGGCAGCGAGGCACCACAGGGUCGUAUCAGUGCUGAACAACUGCUUGUGGAGCUGAAGGCAGGGGGGAUCCGUGAGGAGCAGGAGGAAGAGGUCAGGCGUGAACUCCGUAGCCUUCGCUCCCUCGACCUGCUUGACUUCCUCGCACACCUACCCCUCUUCAUCCUCAUCCACAACUCCGUCAUUGCCAACCCGCUGGAUGACUCUAGCAACCUGUGACAGAAACACCAAAGCUGUGUUAUGUUUUAAAGGCAGCAUCCAUAUCGCAUGCAAGCCAUACUGUCAGGAUGCCCUGUCACAGCUUCUAGUGCACCUUACUCACGAUAUUCGUUUAUUCACUACCGCUUAUCAGCUUCGAUCAGCAAUAAAACUGAACAUGAAUACAAUUUUCUGUGUGAAAAAAAAAAAUGCUUCGUUUAAGAAAUGUCACGGUACACCAAUGGAGCAGGUCGUUUCAUUUUGCCGUUCAUCGAGAUGAACUUUGACCUGCAAAUGAUGCGCCUAAGGUG